GUCCACGCCGUAAACGAUGGGCACUAGAUCCUUGGGGGAGCGACCCCGUGAGGGUCGGCGCUAACGCAUUAAGUGCCCCGCCUGGGGAGUACGGCCGCAAGGCUGAAACUCAAAGGAAUUGACGGGGCCCGCACAAGCGGUGGAGCAUGUGGUUUUAAUUCGACGCAACGCGAAGAACCUUACCUGGGCUUGACAUGCACGGGGACCUCUAGGAACCUGGGGGCUCUUCGGAGCCCGUGCACAGGUGCUGCAUGGCUGUCGU
This 262-nucleotide ribosomal RNA is filed under the name uncultured bacterium. RNAcentral's name for it is "partial 16S ribosomal RNA". It matches the Rfam family "Bacterial small subunit ribosomal RNA", at positions 793 to 1055 of the family's 1533-position model. The record is from RNAcentral.